The sequence is a ribosomal RNA, 597 nucleotides long. The stretch from base 244 to 397 matches the Rfam family "5.8S ribosomal RNA".
GGGGUACUGCGGAGGUCAUACAUGAAUUUGCAAGUGAGACUUGAUGCUGGCAGUGUAAUGCUGCAUGUGCUCGGUUUCCGUCAAAUCCACAUUACACCUGUGCACUUUCAAAGCUCUGUAGUCCUCCGUAAUGGGAGCCGCGGCUGUAAUGGCUGCUGGGGCUACACCUUUGCCCAUACAAUUACAAACUCUGUAUUUUGUCUUGUAGAAUGUCUAAUGGCCUUUGUUGGCUUAACAUAAUACAACUUUCAACAACGGAUCUCUUGGCUCUCGCAUCGAUGAAGAACGCAGCGAAAUGCGAUAAGUAAUGUGAAUUGCAGAAUUCAGUGAAUCAUCGAAUCUUUGAACGCACCUUGCGCUCCUUGGUAUUCCGAGGAGCAUGCCUGUUUGAGUGUCAUUAAAUCAUCAAUUCUCAACUUCUGUAAUGGUUGUUGUCGAAUUGGACUUGGGGACUUGCUGAUUCUAAUGUUGAACUGGCUUCCCUCAAAUGCAUUAGCUGAAGUCUUACAAGCAGCAUAUGUGCUGUGAGAAAAUAUCCUCUGUGUAGCGCUCUCUGAGAUCUCCUUCUCUAGUGCCUCCUCUUGUACACUACACUUG